UACAGAGGGUGCGAGCGUUGUUCGGAAUUACUGGGCGUAAAGCGUGCGCAGGCGGUUCGUUGUGUCGGUGGUGAAAGCCCCGGGCUUAACCUGGGAAUGGCCAUGGAAACUGGCGAACUGGAGUGUGGCAGAGGGGGGUGGAAUUCCGCGUGUAGCAGUGAAAUGCGUAGAGAUGCGGAGGAACACCGAUGGCGAAGGCAGCCCCCUGGGCUAGCACUGACGCUCAGGCACGAAAGCGUGGGGAGCAAACAGG
Molecule: ribosomal RNA, 253 nt
Filed under: uncultured bacterium
Lineage: Bacteria
Description: partial 16S ribosomal RNA
Rfam family: Bacterial small subunit ribosomal RNA
Source: RNAcentral